AGCGAACGCUGGCGGCAGGCCUAACACAUGCAAGUCGAACGAACCCUUCGGGGUUAGUGGCGGACGGGUGAGUAACACGUGGGAACGUACCUUUAGGUUCGGAACAACACAGGGAAACUUGUGCUAAUGCCGAAUGUGCCCUUCGGGGGAAAGGAUUUAUCGCCUUUAGUAGCGGCCCGCGUCUGAUUAGCUUGUUGGUGAGGUAAAGGCUCACCAAGGCUUCGAUCAGUAGCUGGUCUGAGAGGAUGAUCAGCCACACUGGGACUGAGGCACGGCCCAGACUCCUACGGGAGGCAGCAGUGGGGAAGUCUUGCGCAAUGGGCGAAAGCCUGACGCAGCCAUGCCGCGUGAAUGAUGAAGGUCUUAGGAUUGUAAAAUUCUUUCACCGGGGAAGAUAAUGACGGUACCCGGAGAAGAAGCCCGGCUAACUUCGUGCCAGCAGCCGCGGUAAGGUGCGCGAGU
Molecule: ribosomal RNA, 462 nt
Filed under: uncultured bacterium
Lineage: Bacteria
Description: bacterial SSU rRNA
Rfam family: Bacterial small subunit ribosomal RNA
Source: RNAcentral